UCGGAGAAGGGGGUAUAUUCAAACUUCUUGGCUAUUAUUUUGAAGAACUAGAGGAUUCCUAAGCCAGUCAGCCCAAAGAGUAGAUGAUCUGAAAAGCUGCAGAGUAAAGAAACCAUGCCAGUUGCUGCUACUAUAGACAGACAGAGAAGAAAUCCCCUCCGAGCCCCAUGGGUUUACAGAAGUCUAUCCAUCACUCUGUCAGUCUUCCGGAUCAUUAUUCAAGUUGCUAUCCCCAAUUUUGCUGGAUAUAUCAGAUCAACUCCAGCUCCAUAGAUGGACAGUGUGUUUUCUUCCUAUUUUUAAAAACAGCAAAGAGGAGAACUGGUGAAUAUUAUAAGGACACACUAAAAAGUAUGUUGUUACUAUGGCAAUAAAAAAGAGAACAAAUG
Long non-coding RNA from Lutra lutra (Eurasian river otter), 389 nucleotides. RefSeq lists it as uncharacterized. The record is from RefSeq and is a predicted model, not a curated record. NCBI's taxonomy places the organism in Eukaryota, Metazoa, Chordata, Mammalia, Carnivora, Mustelidae. The transcript is spliced from 3 exons.